RNAcentral lists this unclassified non-coding RNA (365 nucleotides) under Hevea brasiliensis (rubber tree). Lineage: Eukaryota; Viridiplantae; Streptophyta; Magnoliopsida; Malpighiales; Euphorbiaceae. The record is from RNAcentral.
AUGUUUUUGCCGCUUGGAAUCAUGUACAAUAAUCGGUAGCUUGACGAGGCGGCGGCUACGGAGCUGGAGAUACCCAGAGGAGGAAACCGGCAGAGGAGACUGGGAGGGAACAGGAGGUGGUUGAGGCGGAGACGCAGGCACUCUGGCUUGGCGUUGAAGGGCUAGGGUUUUGGCGCGGGUACGGACACCAAGGGAGAGGUCCAUAACGGCAACCUCGCCUGUCGUUUUAACCUUCCUCAUAUACUUUCCCAUUUAUAUCUCAUGGAGGAAGAGAGCCAGAACGAAAGCGCGAGCACUAGAGAAGGUAGUAGAGAGAGAAGAGAGUGCUUGGAGGUGGUUUUUGCGGUUGUUGGUUAAGACUUGAG